This 492-nucleotide ribosomal RNA is filed under the name uncultured bacterium. Its description in RNAcentral is "partial 16S ribosomal RNA". It matches the Rfam family "Bacterial small subunit ribosomal RNA", at positions 29 to 507 of the family's 1533-position model. The record is from RNAcentral.
AGUGAACGCUGGCGGUAGGCCUAACACAUGCAAGUCGAACGGCAGCACAGUAAGAGCUUGCUCUUACGGGUGGCGAGUGGCGGACGGGUGAGGAAUACAUCGGAAUCUACUUUUUCGUGGGGGAUAACGUAGGGAAACUUACGCUAAUACCGCAUACGACCUACGGGUGAAAGCAGGGGAUCUUCGGACCUUGCGCGAUUGAAUGAGCCGAUGUCGGAUUAGCAAGUUGGCGGGGUAAAGGCCCACCAAGGCGACGAUCCGUAGCUGGUCUGAGAGGAUGAUCAGCCACACUGGAACUGAGACACGGUCCAGACUCCUACGGGAGGCAGCAGUGGGGAAUAUUGGACAAUGGGCGCAAGCCUGAUCCAGCCAUACCGCGUGGGUGAAGAAGGCCUUCGGGUUGUAAAGCCCUUUUGUUGGGAAAGAAAAGCAGCAGGUUAAUACCCCGCUGUUCUGACGGUACCCAAAGAAUAAGCACCGGCUAACUUCGUG